GACGAACGCUGGCGGCGUGCUUAACACAUGCAAGUCGAACGGAAAGGCCCUGCUUUUGUGGGGUGCUCGAGUGGCGAACGGGUGAGUAACACGUGAGUAACCUGCCCUUGACUUUGGGAUAACUUCAGGAAACUGGGGCUAAUACCGGAUAGGAGCUCCUGCUGCAUGGUGGGGGUUGGAAAGUUUCGGCGGUUGGGGAUGGACUGGCGGCUUAUCAGCUUGUUGGUGGGGUAGUGGCUUACCAAGGCUUUGACGGGUAGCCGGCCUGAGAGGGGGACCGGGCACAUUGGGACUGAGGGACGGCGCAGAGUCGUACGGGGGGCAGCGGUGGGGAAUAUGGCACAAUGGGAGGAAGCCUGAUGCAGCAACGCCGCGGUCGGGAUGACGGCCUUCGGGUUGUAAAACGCUUUCGCCUGUGACGAAGCGUGAGUGACGGUAAUGGGUAAAGAAGCACCGGCUAACUACGUG
This 468-nucleotide ribosomal RNA is filed under the name uncultured bacterium. Its description in RNAcentral is "partial 16S ribosomal RNA". It matches the Rfam family "Bacterial small subunit ribosomal RNA", at positions 28 to 507 of the family's 1533-position model. The record is from RNAcentral.